This 440-nucleotide ribosomal RNA is filed under the name uncultured bacterium. RNAcentral's name for it is "partial 16S ribosomal RNA". It matches the Rfam family "Bacterial small subunit ribosomal RNA", at positions 339 to 795 of the family's 1533-position model. The record is from RNAcentral.
CUACGGGGGGCUGCAGUGGGGAAUAUUGCGCAAUGGGGGGAACCCUGACGCAGCAAUACCGCGUGAGUGAAGAAGGUUUUCGGAUCGUAAAGCUCUGUUAUUAGGGAAGAAAAAAAGACGGUACCCAAGAAGAAAGUUCCGGCUAACUACGUGCCAGCAGCCGCGGUAAUACGUAGGGAACAAGCGUUGUCCGGAUUUACUGGGCGUAAAGGGCACGCAGGCGGUUUUUUAAGUCAGAUGUGAAAGGUACCAGCUCAACUGGCGACAUGCAUUUGAAACUGAAAGACUUGAGUAUUGGAGAGGCAAGUGGAAUUCCUAGUGUAGCGGUGAAAUGCGUAGAUAUUAGGAGGAACACCGGUGGCGAAGGCGGCUUGCUGGACAAAUACUGACGCUGAGGUGCGAAAGCGUGGGGAGCAAACAGGAUUAGAUACCCCCGAGUC